CACCUUCGAAUCCCAUCGUCUCUCAAAUCCUCUCGAAUCUUCAUGGAACCCUAAUCGUCUUCCACCUUAUUUCACCGCGUUUCCACCAGAAUCCAUGGCGUCUCAGGCCACGGAUGGUCUGUACUCACCCUUCCUCACCAUUAGAUCUAAGCUAUUCAAUGCUGUGAAAUCUGACUUCGAUGGUUCUCUCCAAGGCUUUCUCAGAUCUGUAGAUCUAUGGCUUCACCAGCCAUUACUCCGGCGUAUUCGAGCAAUAUGAGUCUUUUCGACUCAGAUAUGACUUUCCUCAGGAUCUUUCUCAUUUCGAGGGUUUUUCUCUGCAACCCUAAGCUUCUCGAGAUUCUUUACUUGCUUAUUUUCUUAGUGCUGGAAUACGUCUAAAUUCUAUUGAACGUUUAAAAGGUUUUCCGUAAAUUUUCUUUUCAAAAACGUUUAAUUUCUAUUUUAGGGUUUCUGAAAGGUUUUUCAAAAGCAUAUUUCUGACUCUGUUGUUCUUUCUUUAUGUGUGUUUUUCUGACUUCUUUUACUAUGCAUGUACUGUUCUUCUAUUUUCUUUUUCUACUCUAUAUGUUAUUCCUGUACUCAGAUGUUAAUCCAUGUUGUUUUCCUUAUUCUUUGCUAUACGUGUGUAUGGUUGAGUUCUUUGAUUGUGUUUACUUUACUGAACUCUGUUUGUGUUCUUAUUAAGCAUAUUUCAUCAACUUUUGUUUAAGCCUGUAUCAUCUCUUUCUUCUGAACUUGUGUAAAUUUUGAGUUUUUCUCGAACAUGUUCUCACGACCUUGAAUUAGUUUUCUUUCUAUCAACAUGUUUGUUUCUUAUAAGUCUUUGGAAGGAGUUCUGAGCCUCUCUCAAAUGGCUUGCUUUCUCACCUCCAUGUCUGGUUCUAUUUGAAACCCUGUGAUUUGGGGGUUUCUUGUCAAUUUUGAUUUCUUGUGUACGAGUUAGGGUUCCACUUUGGUACCCUGGACUCUCAGACUCAUUUUGAGUAAGCAAACUUGACUUAUACCAAUUUUGCUUAUGAUUCUGGACCUUUCUUUGAUUAAAUUCUCUUCUAAAUAACUUGACAAUCCCUUCUUGAUUCACUUAUUUGUGUACUUUAUAUAUGAGAAAUUCCUCUUUCAAAAGGUUUUCAUCAACUAAUUGAUUGAUUUUGAAAUCCUUUUAAUAAGACGGACAGAUUGUCACUGAUUUUCUUAGAUUGAACAUCCUUUACCUUUCUUGACUUGGUUCACUCUAAUUGAAUUUGUAAUUUUGAUUUUACUGGCUGUUUGAUUGAUUCCCUUGCCAUAUUUAGCGCAAACCGUGUAUCAUUGAUUGUUUUCCUUAAACAACUUCCAUGUAUUUACCCUUCUUAUGCUACUUUGAAAAGGUUUUAACUAAAACUCCUUUCCUUAACUUGCUUUUACCCGUUGAAAUCAGAAUCCCUUAACCAAAGGGAGAUUGAUUUCGAUGUUAUUUCCUUGCCUUUCCAACUUGUUUUCUGCACUAUAAAAUGGGACUUUCCUUCUGCACUUUUAAGCCACGACCUUCAGUUCAUCAAUCCUUAACUCCCAAUUCAAUACUACACACUUGCAAUACUGCUUUGAAUCAAUACUCUUUCAAUACUGUGCUUGAAAUCUUUAUGAACUACUUUGCUUGCAACUUGGCCUUUUCGAGAUUACUGCUUCUACUUGUUUUCCCCUGAGAUGGGUAUGUUCUGAUUCAAUUUUCUGCCUCACCCUUAUGUGUUUACCUUACAAUUUUAACAUCCUUGUUUGUAUUGCUGUUCAUGUUCAGUGAUUAAACUAUGUAUGUACUUUCCUUGCAUCUGCUUCUAUUGUAAAUCCCUACCCUCAUUCCCUUUAUGUGUUUGAGUUAAUGUUCUUGGCCUGGUAGUAUCCAAAUUACUGCCCAAGUCAGAACCUAAUCCUCAUUGGAUCUUAACUCGUCAUAUUUGGCUAACAUGCUGGUCAGGGGUGUGCCAGCACUCUUAAUUACUGGGCAUGACCACCGGCCUGCCAUGGCUUUCCCUAAUUCCCUCUAUGCACUUACAAUUACUCUUGCAUUCAUAAGUUCUGCCCCCCCCCCCCUCCAGAGCCUUAAUUUCGGACCUUGAGUUACCUUUGAACUUGGAUAUCUGAGGGGUGACCCUUCCACACUACACCAUGAUCUAAUUCUGCAGUGCAUUUAGGGUGUAAGCUUUACCCGGAGCCCUUUGAAACUCUUGUGAAAUUUGGCACAUCCCAAAUAUAAGAAAGGCUUUUGAAAAUCUAAUCUUGGAAGUUAAUUUAUCUCAUAUUGUUGGACUUUGAGUCUGAAUUAGGUUGUUUGGUUGUAGUUUGAGGUUUCUGAUGUAAUUUUUUUUUCUUUUCUUGCUUCAUUCGGGUCUGUAAUAAUUAGUAAUAACUAUUGGGGAUGGCUAGUGGAAAGGGAUGGAAAUGAAUGCAUGCAAAGGGUAAAUAACUUGUCUAUAGGAUUUUUGAUUCCUGCAUCCAUAUAAACAUCAUGCAUAUAGGUUACUUAUAAAUUUCUGCAUUCAUGUAGAUAACUUGCCUAUAGGAUUUUCUUAUUCUUGCAUUCAUAUAGACAACAUGCAUAUAGGUUACUUAUGAAUUUCUGCACUCCUUCAUUCUCAUCUCAGAAAUUAUGCCUAUAAGUCUUUUUUGCAUUUUUGCAUAUAGAAAUCCUGUCUCUAAGUCUCUGU
RNAcentral lists this long non-coding RNA (2684 nucleotides) under Nicotiana benthamiana. Its description in RNAcentral is "long non-coding RNA (NBEN_LNC012363)". The record is from RNAcentral. Lineage: Eukaryota; Viridiplantae; Streptophyta; Magnoliopsida; Solanales; Solanaceae.